GGCUUCGUAGUGUAGUGGUCAGCACGCUCGGCCCGUUUUCGAGAGCUCUCAGGUUAGAGUCCCGGCGAGGGCA
RNAcentral lists this transfer RNA (73 nucleotides) under Stegodyphus mimosarum. It matches the Rfam family "tRNA". Rfam says of the family: Transfer RNA (tRNA) molecules are approximately 80 nucleotides in length. Their secondary structure includes four short double-helical elements and three loops (D, anti-codon, and T loops). Lineage: Eukaryota; Metazoa; Arthropoda; Arachnida; Araneae; Eresidae. The record is from Rfam by way of RNAcentral.